AGACCAGCAAGAGAAAGAGGACUCUUGCCUAAUCCUACGAAGGCACGCCAUACGUGUCUUAAAACCAACACGCCAAUACUUAGUGCCUCACAUUGUACGAAGCACUAGUUGCGAAGAUGACGACCAUUUGGAUCCUUCUGUCGCUGCUCUUCGCUGUACAUGCUUUGCCGGACGUUCACGCCUACACAUCAAGUAACCCAUUCUGCUACCGGCUUGUUCCCCAUGAAAUAACGGCCGUACAGACACCGUGCAGGUAUCCAUGCUUGCUGCUCUCAAGCAACGUGCAGCCUGCAGUACACGUUCAAUACGAAAUGGACGGGGCGCCAUG
Molecule: long non-coding RNA, 328 nt
Organism: Rhipicephalus sanguineus (brown dog tick)
Lineage: Eukaryota; Metazoa; Arthropoda; Arachnida; Ixodida; Ixodidae
Exons: 3
Source: RefSeq, a predicted model, not a curated record